RNAcentral lists this transfer RNA (91 nucleotides) under Ceratocystis platani. RNAcentral describes it as "tRNA-OTHER". It matches the Rfam family "tRNA". Rfam says of the family: Transfer RNA (tRNA) molecules are approximately 80 nucleotides in length. Lineage: Eukaryota; Fungi; Ascomycota; Sordariomycetes; Microascales; Ceratocystidaceae. The record is from RNAcentral.
GCCAUAAUAGUUUAGUGGUUAGAAUACGUCGUUGUGGCCCUCAGUCCUCUGUAAACCGACGUGACCCAUGUUCGAUUCAUGGUUAUGGCAC